This 460-nucleotide ribosomal RNA is filed under the name uncultured bacterium. RNAcentral's name for it is "partial 16S ribosomal RNA". It matches the Rfam family "Bacterial small subunit ribosomal RNA", at positions 338 to 795 of the family's 1533-position model. The record is from RNAcentral.
CCUACGGGUGGCAGCAGUGAGGAAUAUUGGUCAAUGGACGGGAGUCUGAACCAGCCAAGUAGCGUGAAGGAUGACUGCCCUAUGGGUUGUAAACUUCUUUUGUAUGGGAAUAAAAUGUUCCACGUGUGGGAUUUUGUAUGUACCAUAUGAAUAAGGAUCGGCUAACUCCGUGCCAGCAGCCGCGGUAAUACGGAGGAUCCGAGCGUUAUCCGGAUUUAUUGGGUUUAAAGGGAGCGUAGGGGGAUGGUUAAGUCAGUUGUGAAAGUUGGCGGCUCAACCGGAAAAUUGCAGUUGAAACUGGAAGUCUUGAGUACAGUAGAGGUGGGCGGAAUUCGUGGUGUAGCGGUGAAAUGCUUAGAUAUCACGAAGAACUCCGAUUGCGAAGGCAGUCUACUGGACUGCAACUGACACUGAGGCUCGAAGGUGUGGGUAUCAAACAGGAUUAGAUACCCUUGUAGUC